UUGUGGAGGAGGACGCCGAAGGUGGGGCUAAUGACUGGGGUGAAGUCGUAACAAGGUAGCCGUACCGGAAGGUGCGGCUGGAUCACCUCCUAACAGGGAGACAACAAAAUGUUUAAUAUUAUUAUUUUGUCACCUUAGGUCGAUCGGUAUCUUACAUUCUUAAUUUAUUAAGGAUUUCAUUUCCUAAGUUUUUUCUAGGUCACACCCAUUAUUUUUCCUGGGCCAUUAGCUCAGGUGGUUAGAGCGCACCCCUGAUAAGGGUGAGGUCCCUGGUUCAAGUCCAGGAUGGCCCAUAUCUCUAUGUUGGGGGUAUAGCUCAGUUGGUAGAGCGCCUGCUUUGCAAGCAGGAUGUCAGCGGUUCGAGUCCGCUUACCUCCACUGAUUACCACCUCUUACAUAAUCUGAUAAAGGAAAUGUUUUGAGUUGUGAUCAAAUUCUGAACGAUUCUAGCUUCCUAAUGAAAUCAUUAAGAUGCUGGACUCAUUGAAUUAAUUUCAUUGUUUUCAGAGAACCUUGACAACUGCAUAGAUUAUUUUUAAAGACAAUAAGCAUCUUUUAAUGAUGCAGAUUUAUUAUUUGUGCGAAUGCAUUAAAUAACAAUUCUAUUAAGCUGAUGCUUCAAUUAUUGAAGUUAUUGGUCAAGCUACAA
This 649-nucleotide unclassified non-coding RNA is filed under the name uncultured Prochlorococcus sp. Its description in RNAcentral is "partial 16S-23S ribosomal RNA intergenic spacer; may also contain 16S ribosomal RNA and 23S ribosomal RNA". The stretch from base 306 to 378 matches the Rfam family "tRNA". The record is from RNAcentral. Lineage: Bacteria; Bacillati; Cyanobacteriota; Cyanophyceae; Synechococcales; Prochlorococcaceae.